RNAcentral lists this small RNA (526 nucleotides) under Pan troglodytes (chimpanzee). RNAcentral's name for it is "processed transcript". The record is from RNAcentral. Lineage: Eukaryota; Metazoa; Chordata; Mammalia; Primates; Hominidae.
AUGAGAACGGUCCAGAGGAGAAGCAAAGUGUGGAAGAAAUGGAAGGGCAGAGCCAAGAUGCAGGUAGGCUCAGAUUUCUUUUGAGAAGUCACCUAGGCCUCAUCUGCAGAGAUGGUGUCAACACUGUCACUGUGCCCGGCCCUGCUUCAGAAGAGGCAGUUGAAGACUGUAAAGAUGAAGAUUCUGCAAAGGAUGACAGUAUUACAAAAGGCGGUGAAGUGACAGAUCAUUCUGUGCAUGACCAAGAUCAUCCCGAUGGACAAGAGAAUGAUUCAACGAAGAAUGAAAUAAAAAUUGAAACAGAAUCGCAGAGCUCAUAUAUGGAAACAGAAGAACUUUCAUCAAACCAAGAAGAUGCCGUGAUUGUGGAGCAACCAGAAGUGAUUCCAUUAACAGAUGACCAAGAAGAAAAAGAAGGUGAAAAAGCUCCAGGCGAGGACACACCUAGGAUGCCUGGGAAAAGUGAAGGCUCCAGUGACCUAGAAAACACUCCAGGUCCUGAUGUUGAAAUGAAUAGUCAGGUUGA